This 1539-nucleotide ribosomal RNA is filed under the name Micrococcus sp. HMSC30C05. Its description in RNAcentral is "bacterial LSU rRNA". It matches the Rfam family "Bacterial large subunit ribosomal RNA", at positions 1 to 1657 of the family's 2925-position model. Lineage: Bacteria; Bacillati; Actinomycetota; Actinomycetes; Micrococcales; Micrococcaceae. The record is from RNAcentral.
GUGAAAGUUUCCAAGGGCGCAUGGUGGAUGCCUUGGCAACAGGAGCCGAAGAAGGACGUGGGAAUCUGCGAUAAGCCUGGUGGAGUCGAUAACCGGACGUUGAGACCAGGAUUUCCGAAUGGGGAAACCCCGCACGACGUGUCGUGUGACCCCCGGUUGAACACAUAGACCGGGUGGAGGGAACGUGGGGAAGUGAAACAUCUCAGUACCCACAGGAAGAGAAAACAAAAGUGAUUCCGUUAGUAGUGGCGAGCGAACGCGGAUGGGGCUAAACCGUAUGUGUGUGAUACCCGGCAGGGGUUGCAUGUGCGGUGUGUGGGCCCCUCCUUGUCAUGUCUGCCGGCAUGGCGCAGUGAGGUGCGGGCAUAUAGACGAACCAGUGUGGAUGCUGGACCGUAGAGGGUGAGAGUCCCGUAGUCGAAAUGUGUUCCGCCGCUGUUGGAGGGUUGCCCGAGUAGCACGGGGCCCGAGGAAUCCCGUGUGAAUCUGCCAGGACCACCUGGUAAGCCUGAAUACUACCUGUUGACCGAUAGCGGAUCAGUACCGUGAGGGAAUGGUGAAAAGUACCCCGGGAGGGGAGUGAAAUAGUACCUGAAACCAUGUGCCUACAAACCGUUGGAGCCUCCUUGUGGGGUGACAGCGUGCCUUUUGAAGAAUGAGCCUGCGAGUUAGUGAUACGUGGCGAGGUUAACCCGUGUGGGGAAGCCGUAGCGAAAGCGAGUCUGAAUAGGGCGAUUGAGUCGCGUGUCCUAGACCCGAAGCGGAGUGAUCUACCCAUGGCCAGGUUGAAGCGCGUGUAAGAGCGCGUGGAGGACCGAACCCACUUCAGUUGAAAAUGGAGGGGAUGAGCUGUGGGUAGGGGUGAAAGGCCAAUCAAACUCCGUGAUAGCUGGUUCUCCCCGAAAUGCAUUUAGGUGCAGCGUCACGUGUUUCUUCCCGGAGGUAGAGCUACUGGAUGGACGAUGGGCCCUACAAGGUUACUGACUUCAGCCAAACUCCGAAUGCCGGGAAGUGAGAGCGUGGCAGUGAGACUGUGGGGGAUAAGCUUCAUAGUCGAGAGGGAAACAGCCCAGACCACCGGUUAAGGCCCCUAAGCGUGUGCUAAGUGGGAAAGGAUGUGGAGUUGCUGAGACAACCAGGAGGUUGGCUUAGAAGCAGCCACCCUUGAAAGAGUGCGUAAUAGCUCACUGGUCAAGUGAUUCCGCGCCGACAAUGUAGCGGGGCUCAAGUACACCGCCGAAACCGUGGCAUUCAGUUUUGCUGGAUGGGUAGGGGAGCGUCGUUCACGAGGUGAAGCCAGCGGGUAACUUCUGGUGGAUUGUGGACGAGUGAGAAUGCAGGCAUGAGUAGCGAAAGACGGGUGAGAAACCCGUCCGCCGGAUGACUAAGGGUUCCAGGGUCAAGCUAAUCUGCCCUGGGUAAGUCGGGACCUAAGGCGAGGCCGACAGGCGUAGUCGAUGGACAACGGGUUGAUAUUCCCGUACCAGUGAAGAACCGCCCAUGUUGAGCCGGUGAUACUAACCGCCCGAACCAUCCCGA